UAGGGAAUCUUCGGCAAUGGGGGCAACCCUGACCGAGCAACGCCGCGUGAGUGAAGAAGGUUUUCGGAUCGUAAAGCUCUGUUGUAAGAGAAGAACGAGUGUGAGAGUGGAAAGUUCACACUGUGACGGUAACUUACCAGAAAGGGACGGCUAACUACGUGCCAGCAGCCGCGGUAAUACGUAGGUCCCGAGCGUUAUCCGGAUUUAUUGGGCGUAAAGCGAGCGCAGGCGGUUAGAUAAGUCUGAAGUUAAAGGCUGUGGCUUAACCAUAGUACGCUUUGGAAACUGUUUAACUUGAGUGCAGAAGGGGAGAGUGGAAUUCCAUGUGUAGCGGUGAAGUGCGUAGAUAUAUGGAGGAACACCGGUGGCGAAAGCGGCUCUCUGGUCUGUAACUGACGCUGAGGCUCGAAAGCGUGGGGAGCAAACAGGAUUAGAUACCCUGGUAGUCCACGCCGUAAACGAUGAGUGCUAGGUGUUGGGUCCUUUCCGGGACUCAGUGCCGCAGCUAACGCAUUAAGCACUCCGCCUGGGGAGUACGACCGCAAGGUU
This 549-nucleotide ribosomal RNA is filed under the name uncultured bacterium. RNAcentral describes it as "bacterial SSU rRNA". It matches the Rfam family "Bacterial small subunit ribosomal RNA", at positions 355 to 895 of the family's 1533-position model. The record is from RNAcentral.